RNAcentral lists this ribosomal RNA (550 nucleotides) under uncultured bacterium. RNAcentral describes it as "bacterial SSU rRNA". It matches the Rfam family "Bacterial small subunit ribosomal RNA", at positions 355 to 896 of the family's 1533-position model. The record is from RNAcentral.
UAGGGANUCUUCCACAAUGGGCGCAAGCCUGAUGGAGCAACACCGCGUGAGUGAAGAAGGGUUUCGGCUCGUAAAGCUCUGUUGUUAAAGAAGAACACGUAUGAGAGUAACUGUUCAUACGUUGACGGUAUUUAACCAGAAAGUCACGGCUAACUACGUGCCAGCAGCCGCGGUAAUACGUAGGUGGCAAGCGUUAUCCGGAUUUAUUGGGCGUAAAGAGAGUGCAGGCGGUUUUCUAAGUCUGAUGUGAAAGCCUUCGGCUUAACCGGAGAAGUGCAUCGGAAACUGGAUAACUUGAGUGCAGAAGAGGGUAGUGGAACUCCAUGUGUAGCGGUGGAAUGCGUAGAUAUAUGGAGGAACACCGGUGGCGAAAGCGGCUCUCUGGCUUGUAACUGACGCUGAGGCUCGAAAGCGUGGGGAGCAAACAGGAUUAGAUACCCUGGUAGUCCACGCCGUAAACGAUGAGUGCUAGGUGUUGGAUCCUUUCCGGGAUUCAGUGCCGCAGCUAACGCAUUAAGCACUCCGCCUGGGGAGUACGACCGCAAGGUUG